Molecule: Y RNA, 102 nt
Filed under: Prolemur simus (greater bamboo lemur)
Lineage: Eukaryota; Metazoa; Chordata; Mammalia; Primates; Lemuridae
Description: Y RNA (ENSPSMG00000013561.1)
Rfam family: Y RNA
About the family: Y RNAs are components of the Ro ribonucleoprotein particle (Ro RNP), in association with Ro60 and La proteins. The Y RNAs and Ro60 and La proteins are well conserved, but the function of the Ro RNP is not known.
Source: Rfam by way of RNAcentral
GGUUGGUCCGAGUGCAGUGGUGUUUACAACUAGCUGAUCACAACCGGUUACAGAUUCCUUUGUUUCCUCUCCACUCCCACUGCUUCACUUGACCAGCCUUAA